This 1499-nucleotide long non-coding RNA is filed under the name Sus scrofa (pig). RNAcentral describes it as "lncRNA (ENSSSCG00050012110.1)". The record is from RNAcentral. Lineage: Eukaryota; Metazoa; Chordata; Mammalia; Artiodactyla; Suidae.
AAGAUAAAGAAGCACCAGCAGAGCUGGCGAGCAGAAACCUGGCCUCAGGGCAAAAGAGAUGCCACAGAAAUAGUUACACAGGCCUCGGAAGGGAAGCCUUCACUGCGUGUACGGCCCCCGUGGACUGCCACAGGAUUUCCUAGGAUCCUCCUGGAAGCCUCAAAGAAUGGGUCAGAUUUUUUGGAUUCUAAGCAUCAUGACACUCUAUAAAAGAGAGCCUGGAGCAACCUUGAAAUUAAGCCACACAGGCAGCCAUUUACUUGGUUAAUGAACAUUGCUAUUUCAUUGGUUUUAAGGUUAGUGUCUAUUCUCCCUCCUGGUGGUAACAGCAUCCCAACAGUGUUUUGGAGAAUCACUCCUCUGCUAUUAGAUGUAUGAAGUAGUGGUACCUGUCUUCCUCUGGCUAACAGGGAAAGGCUGCAUGGUUACCAGGAAGAACACUGAUGGGUUGGUAGACCAGUGUAAGUCAUCUAAUGGUCUUGGCUAUCACGUCACGGAUGACACAGUCUGUCUCUAGGUGUUUCACAUUAAUGGAAGAAACCUGAAAUAAAAUACAGUGUUUGAUUGGUUUAGGGUGGUCUUUUUCAGACUACAGAUUGGAACUCAUUAGUGGCUUGUGAACUCAAUUUAGUGGGUUGUGAUCAGCAUUUUUAAAAGCAGAAAUAGAAGAGGAAAAGUGGCAGAAAUAGGAAUAUUGGAUGCAGACAGAAUAAGUAAUGUUUUAUUAAACUUCUAUUUCACAUGUAUAUAUGUAUAUGCUUGUAUGUGUAUAGAAUACAUAUAAUUUGUCCUUUGGUAUUCUCGGGGGAUGGGCUAUAGGACGUUGUGGAAACCAAAAUAACACAGAUGCACCAGUCCCUCACCACUGGCUCUCAGUAUUUGUUCAGAACCUGUGACUACGGAGGUAACUGUACGUUAUAUUGUAUGUAUGUAUGUAAUAUGCAAUAUGUAUAUAUGCAAACUUAUUUAUGUAUAUUUGUAGUAGGUCAAUACAUACAACAUCAAAGAGGUUUCAAAGCCAUGGGUCUGGAAAGAGGUCUAGAAAAAGCCCCCUUCACUCAGAUCUUCCAUUAACAUACCUAUUCCAAUUAAAUUCUUUUUUUUUUUUUUUUCCUUUCUUGCAGCAUUUGGAAGUUCUCAGGCCAGGGGUUCCCAGGUUUGCGCCAGAGCCAUGCAACACUGGAUCUGAGUAGCAUCUGUGAUCUGUGCCACAGUUUAUGGCAACACCAGAUCCGUAACCCACUGAGCGAGGCCAGGGAUAAAACCCACAUCCUUAUAGAGACAACAUCAGGUCCUUAACCUGCUGAGCCACAACGGGAACUCCUCUGCCUAUUAAUUUCUUCGUGCUUAAAGCACAUUGAAAACUAUUGAAACUAUUAGGAUGAAGAAUUGUCAACAGUUUGAGCACUGAGUGAAGGCUGGGUGAAACAAAGACGUAAAGGUACUCUUGGUUUGGUAAAUAUAUACGUAAUAUACUAAAUAAAGGUGUUUUAAACUCU